Long non-coding RNA from Silurus meridionalis, 452 nucleotides. RefSeq lists it as uncharacterized. The record is from RefSeq and is a predicted model, not a curated record. The transcript is spliced from 3 exons. NCBI's taxonomy places the organism in Eukaryota, Metazoa, Chordata, Actinopteri, Siluriformes, Siluridae.
GUUUCCACAACUUCAGGCAGCAAUGACUGGCUUUUAACGAACCUUGGCAGUUUCUUCAAUUAUGCCACCUUGACAGAGCUGAAGAUUUUAAAUGCAAAUUUCUCUAGUGUUGCAGUGUUUGGUUUACUGUCCAUUGAGCAGAAGGCUCAGUUCAUCUUGCAGCCGGAUACAGGAGUGUUGGAAAAUGACUUAGUGAUUAGAGAGGUGUUUAGCAGUAUGAUCGCAUCUUUUGAUCUCAAUCAACUUGGCAUGUUCUUCACAAACUUCAGCCAGACUGCAAAACAAAUGAACCUCACUAGCAUUCCUUCAGCAAUUUCAGACACCAUUCUGAACAUAACGCUCUUAGAUCUGGUGCCUCACUUCCAACAUUUCAGCCCAGAGGACUUUGCCCUGUGGUUCCAUAAUUACCUUUCCAUCUUACUUCCUGGUAUUGGUUCAAACACCCUGUCGAU